Molecule: ribosomal RNA, 851 nt
Filed under: uncultured bacterium
Lineage: Bacteria
Description: bacterial SSU rRNA
Rfam family: Bacterial small subunit ribosomal RNA
Source: RNAcentral
CACAUGCAAGUCGCACGGUCAGCAAUGGCAGUGGCGGACGGGUGAGUAACACGUAGGAAUCUAUCCCAGGGUGGGGGACAACAGCGGGAAACUGCUGCUAAUACCGCAUGAUACCUGAGGGUCAAAGGCGCAAGUCGCCUUGGGAGGAGCCUGCGUCUGAUUAGCUUGUUGGUGGGGUAAAGGCCUACCAAGGCGACGAUCAGUAGCUGGUCUGAGAGGAUGAUCAGCCACAUUGGGACUGAGACACGGCCCAAACUCCUACGGGAGGCAGCAGUGGGGAUAUUGGACAAUGGGGGAAACCCUGAUCCAGCAAUGCCGCGUGUGUGAAGAAGGUCUUCGGAUUGUAAAGCACUUUUGGCAGGGACGAUGAUGACGGUACCUGCAGAAUAAGCCCCGGCUAACUUCGUGCCAGCAGCCGCGGUAAUACGAAGGGGGCUAGCGUUGCUCGGAAUGACUGGGCGUAAAGGGCGCGUAGGCGGCAUGUACAGUCAGAAGUGAAAUUCCUGGGCUCAACCUGGGGACUGCUUUUGAUACGUACAAGCUUGAGUGAGGAAGAGGGUUGUGGAAUUUCCAGUGUAGAGGUGAAAUUCGUAGAUAUUGGAAAGAACACCGGUGGCGAAGGCGGCAACCUGGUCCUUUACUGACGCUGAGGCGCGAAAGCGUGGGGAGCAAACAGGAUUAGAUACCCUGGUAGUCCACGCUGUAAACGAUGUGUGCUGGAUGUUGGGAAACUUAGUUUUUCAGUGUCGUAGCUAACGCGAUAAGCACACCGCCUGGGGAGUACGGCCGCAAGGUUGAAACUCAAGGGAAUUGACGGGGGCCCGCACAAGCGGUGGAGCAUGUGGUUUAAU